RNAcentral lists this transfer RNA (75 nucleotides) under Bacteroidales bacterium. Its description in RNAcentral is "tRNA-Ala". It matches the Rfam family "tRNA". Rfam says of the family: Transfer RNA (tRNA) molecules are approximately 80 nucleotides in length. Their secondary structure includes four short double-helical elements and three loops (D, anti-codon, and T loops). Further hydrogen bonds mediate the characteristic L-shaped molecular structure. tRNAs have two regions of fundamental functional importance: the anti-codon, which is responsible for specific mRNA codon recognition, and the 3' end, to which the tRNAs corresponding amino acid is attached (by aminoacyl-tRNA synthetases). tRNAs cope with the degeneracy of the genetic code in two manners: having more than one tRNA (with a specific anti-codon) for a particular amino acid; and 'wobble' base-pairing, i.e. permitting non-standard base-pairing at the 3rd anti-codon position. Lineage: Bacteria; Pseudomonadati; Bacteroidota; Bacteroidia; Bacteroidales. The record is from RNAcentral.
GGGCCCUUAGCUCAGUUUGGCUAGAGCGCCAGUUUUGCACACUGGAGGCCGUGGGUUCGAAUCCCACAGGGUCCA